RNAcentral lists this ribosomal RNA (510 nucleotides) under uncultured bacterium. RNAcentral's name for it is "partial 16S ribosomal RNA". It matches the Rfam family "Bacterial small subunit ribosomal RNA", at positions 28 to 507 of the family's 1533-position model. The record is from RNAcentral.
GACGAACGCUGGCGGCGUGCUUAACACAUGCAAGUCGAACGAAGAGCGAUGGAAGCUUGCUUCUAUCAAUCUUAGUGGCGAACGGGUGAGUAACGCGUAAUCAACCUGCCCUUCAGAGGGGGACAACAGUUGGAAACGACUGCUAAUACCGCAUACGAUCUAACCUCGGCAUCGAGGAUAGAUGAAAGGUGGCCUCUACAUGUAAGCUAUCACUGAAGGAGGGGAUUGCGUCUGAGUAGCUAGUUGGAGGGGUAACGGCCCACCAAGGCGAUGAUCAGUAGCCGGUCUGAGAGGAUGAACGGCCACAUUGGGACUGAGACACGGCCCAGACUCCUACGGGAGGCAGCAGUGGGGAAUCUUCCGCAAUGGACGAAAGUCUGACGGAGCAACGCCGCGUGAGUGAUGACGGCCUUCGGGUUGGAAAGCUCUGUUAAUCGGGACGAAAGGCCUUCUUGCGAAUAGUGAGAAGGAUUGACGGUACCGGAAUAGAAAGCCACGGCUAACUACGUG